This 777-nucleotide ribosomal RNA is filed under the name uncultured bacterium. Its description in RNAcentral is "bacterial SSU rRNA". It matches the Rfam family "Bacterial small subunit ribosomal RNA", at positions 8 to 796 of the family's 1533-position model. The record is from RNAcentral.
AGAGUUUGAUCAUGGCUCAGGAUGAACGCUAGCGGCAGGCCUAAUACAUGCAAGUCGAACGGUCCGCAAGGAUAGUGGCAAACGGGUGCGUAACGCGUAAGCAACCUGCCCCAUACCGGGGGAUAGCCUGGCGAAAGCCGGGGUAAACCCGCAUAGUCCCUUUCUGUUUCAUGACAGGCUGGGUAAACAUUUAUGGGUAUGGGAGGGGCUUGCGUCUGAUUAGUUAGUUGGCGGGGUAACGGCCCACCAAGACGGUGAUCAGUAGGGGUUCUGAGAGGAUUGGCCCCCACAUGGGUACUGAGAUACGGACCCAACUCCUACGGGAGGCAGCAGUAGGGAAUAUUGGGCAAUGGAGGCAACUCUGACCCAGCCAUGCCGCGUGCAGGAUGAAGGCGCUCAGCGUCGUAAACUGCUUUUAUCUGGGAAGAACUGUGGGCCUGCGGGCUUAUUUGACGGUACCAGAGGAAUAAGCACCGGCUAACUCCGUGCCAGCAGCCGCGGUAAUACGGAGGGUGCAAGCGUUGUCCGGAUUUAUUGGGUUUAAAGGGUGCGCAGGUGGGUAUUUAAGUCUGGUUUGAAAGCAGGUGGCUCAACCAUCUGAUGUGGCUGGAAACUGGAUAUCUUGAAUGGGUUGGCGGUAGCCGGAAUGGGUCAUGUAGCGGUGAAAUGCAUAGAUAUGACCCGGAACACCGAUUGCGAAGGCAGGCUACUACGACUUGAUUGGCACUGAGGCACGAGAGCAUGGGUAGCGAACAGGAUUAGAUACCCUGGUAGUCC